Haplochromis burtoni (Burton's mouthbrooder) is the source of this 3462-nucleotide long non-coding RNA. RefSeq lists it as uncharacterized. The record is from RefSeq and is a predicted model, not a curated record. The transcript is spliced from 3 exons. Lineage: Eukaryota; Metazoa; Chordata; Actinopteri; Cichliformes; Cichlidae.
GCUGAGACUGAAGAAGUCACUUGGAUUAGUGGUGAAACAUUUCUCCCACUGAAAAUGCUAUGUCCAGAUGAACAGAAUCAGCCUUUUCGGAUUCACUCUAGCAUGCAACUCAAAAAAACCCAAACCUUACCUAUCAUUUUCUCUGCCCUGUAUUACAAAGAAAGUUCACCAUACCUAGGGUAUCUUUCCUUUUUUCACUUACCCUGAUAUUAAGUCAGGCUAAUUAAUGGCAUCAAGCUGGGUAUUAAUCAGUCACGAUUUGUUGGUGUUGUUACCAACAUGACAUGGGUCUGUCUGCAGUAUUUGUAUACUUCUAAAAUCCCAAAAAGUUCUGUUCAUCUCGACAUAAGGUUUUCAGUGGAAGAAACGUUUCAUCACUCAUCAAGUUACUUCUUCAGUCUCAGCUGACUGCAGGUUUCCCCAAAUCUUAUAAUAAUUUAUAAUUUGUCAAGGGUUCAUCCUACAUCAAGAAGAUGACCCAAAAAAUAAUUCCAAUCUAUGCCAGAACUACCUCAGGGAAAAGGUACAAGAUGGUAAGCUUGAAAACAAGGAGUGGCCAGUAAAGUCUCCAGACUUAAACCCCAUUGAGAUGGUUUGGGAUGAACUGGACAGAAGAGAGAAGGCAAAGCAACCUGCAGGUGCCACAUUCGUGGGAACCUCUGGAGCAGAUAUGGGAGGAACUUUUUGAAGAAUAUUUGAUUUCUAUUGUAGAAAGAAUGCUGUGUUUAGUGUUCAGGAUAGGUACGUUAUUUCCUGGAAUAACAGCAAGUCAGGAAAGAAAGGUAGAUUGUGAGAUUGGUCAGAGUCAUCAUCAGCUGUUAUCACUGCCAAAGGUGGCUACUUUGAUGAGUCUAAAGUUUGGUCUAUAAAUUUAUUUCAUGAUUUCUUGUUUACCUCCAAUUGUUUAUUUGUUCUGUGCUUUCAUUUCAGAGUAUGAGAAACUGAGCUGUAUGGGUCCUCAAAAUAUUAGGGAUUAUUAGGGAUUAGGGUGCCACAACAACAGUCUGUAAGGUAGAAAACUUACAAUAAUAUUAGAACUAUGUCAUUGAAAUGGAUCCUAUCUCUCCCCCACAGCUUGCCUGAACGUAAAUCCCAUCAGCUCUCAGUUCUUUAAAGGCAACUUUGUGUGCCUCUGAGCAACUUUAUGAUAUUGCUUUUAAAUAUCCUAGGAACAACAUGUCACCUAGCACCAGCAUGGUACUAAUGAUAUUUGGACUGAUCCCCCCACCUCUACGAUGUAAUUACACAAAACUAAGAUUGUGGAACAGGUGAAAUAAUUUAAAACAUGCACAUGCAGGAUAUAUGUUAAAGGGGUGGUCAAAAUAAUAAGGCUAGUUUUCAAAUGUUGACUACUGAUGGUAUUAUUCUAGAACCACUAUUUUGUUUUGUUAAAAAUCGAUUCAUAUCAUCCCCUCUCCUUCCCAGCUCGUCUGACUGUGAGUCCCAGCAGCUCUCAGUUCUUUAAAGACGACUUUGUGUCUCUGAGCUGUGAGGAGGACGACAGCUCUGCUGGAUGGACUCUGAGGAGAAACACAAGCAAACGACAGAGGACUCAAUGUGGAGAUGGGUGGGGAAAACCAGCCGGUUCUUCCUGUAAAAUGAGCUACAUUAAUCCACUGGAAAGUGGAGUUUACUGGUGUGAGUCCAGAGAGGGUCCCAUCAGUAACAUGGUUAACCUGACAGUCACUGGUGGAUCAGUGAUCCUGCAGAGUCCUGUCCUCCCUGUGAUGGAGGGAGAUGACGUCACUCUGCUCUGUAAAACAAAGACCACUCCCUCCAACCUCCCAGCGGCUUUUUUCAAAGAUGGCGUCUUCAUUGGGAGGAAUAACUCUAAAGGCCAUAUGACCAUCCUGCAUGUUUCCAGGUCUGAUGAAGGCCUCUACAAGUGUGACAUCAGCGGUCAUGGAGAGUCUCCAUCCAGCUGGAUCACUGUCACAGGUGAGGAACUUCACUCUGAUUACACCUCUUAUUUGUUCAAUAUAGUCACCUGAACAGGUAGGAUUGUCUCUGCAGGAAAGCCUACAUCCACAGCCAGACCUACAACCACAUCUCGCCUGAUUUCUGGAGCUUCAUAUCCUGACUUAACAUUAAUGUGCCACCUGGUGGUGUGUAGUCCAUAUUUCAUCUACACCCUUCUCUCAUGGUGUUUUUAUAGUGAGCCACUAUAGGAAAUGACUUACCCAUCCUCAAGGAGUUAACCCUACCCACAGAGGCCGAGUAAAGACAGGAUGAGGAGGUCAAUAAUGUAACCAAAAGCUUCACUUGAACAAACACAAACUGGAUGAACACAGUGUGGUUUCUCUCAACUGUUUCUAUUUUGCUUUUGUUUAAAUGUUUACUUUUUACAACUUCAUGAACCUUUGUCUGUAGAUUUUUUUACAGUUCAUUAUAGUAUGGCUCUUUUUGCCAUCUCAUUUCUGAAUGAAGCAGUAGACUCAAUUUCAGAGUAAAAGACAUUACAUCUAAAUAAUUCUUUAAGGCUACAGUUAAAAAGCUAUGUUAAGUCAAAAUACACAGUUGUUCUGUGGCUUUGGUGCUUUUUUGUUUUUAUUUUAUUUUGUGUGCGUAGCCAUUUCCCUCAUCGAUGUGUUUCAAAAAUUGUGGUUUUGGCUGUCUGUUGAUGUCAAAUUUCUGGAUCACCUCAGAAUGCUUGGAACCCUGCCCGAGUAGGUACUAAAAAGUACCUGGUACCAGGUAUUUAAAUCUGAUGGAUCCUAGAAACUAUAUUGAGCCAUGCCGAGGUGACCCAAAUAGGUAAUAAUGGAAAAGGUCUAAUAGUCUCUACUCAAAGCUCAUGCAACCAGAAUGCUCAUACUCUUGAGUUUAUUCUGUAUUUCUAGCCAUGAUCUUGCCUCAGUGUUUCCUCCAAUAUAGGUUAGUCUCGUCUUCAUGUGCACCUGUCUUGUCCCCCCUAGUCAGUCUAUGUACUUCCUGCUUAACUUUGAUAGUCUCCCGCCAGUGUACGUCACAUUGUCCUUCAUCCCUCUUUGUGUGUUUUCACCUGCUUAGUUAUCUUGUUUAGUUUGAUGUAUAUUUCCAGUUUAGCUUUGUAUUUUCUAGCUACCAGCAUGAGGGUGGCAAAGAAAUCAAAUGGGGUGGCAAAGCCUUUUUUAAUAAUAAGGCUUGUAAUCUCUCUGUGUUCCUCUGUGUGUAUUUAAGUUAUGUCUUCUUAUGUUGUAGUCGCUGGUCUGGCUGCGUAUCUACCGUGUGUUUUCCCUGCUGUCACCAUCCUGUACCUUUGUCUACACUCCUUCAUGUUCUGGUUGUUGUUUUGCAGUUUUAGUAUUGUCCCAGUUUAGUUUUGCAUUUGUUCGGUUUUGCGAUAUUUCACCGUGUGCUUUAUUUUCAAUAAACCACCUCCACAUCUCAGUGAGUGCACUUGGGUCCUCCUUUAUUUCUCCACACGGCUCUUCUCACUUGCCGUGACACGUACUGUGUAGCCUUUAUAAUAACUAGAUAUGC